Molecule: ribosomal RNA, 484 nt
Filed under: uncultured bacterium
Lineage: Bacteria
Description: partial 16S ribosomal RNA
Rfam family: Bacterial small subunit ribosomal RNA
Source: RNAcentral
GACGAACGCUGGCGGCGUGCUUAACACAUGCAAGUCGAACGAUGAAGCCGGAGCUUGCUCUGGUGAAUUAGUGGCGAACGGGUGAGUAACACGUGAGUAACCUGCCCUUGACUCUGGGAUAACUGCUAGAAAUGGUAGCUAAUACCGGAUACGACCCUCGGAGGCAUCUCCAGGGGGUGGAAAGAAUUUCGGUCAAGGAUGGGCCCGCGGCCUAUCAGCUAGUUGGUGAGGUAAAGGCUCACCAAGGCGACGACGGGUAGCCGGCCUGAGAGGGUGACCGGCCACACUGGGACUGAGACACGGCCCAGACUCCUACGGGAGGCAGCAGUGGGGAAUAUUGCACAAUGGGCGCAAGCCUGAUGCAGCAACGCCGCGUGAGGGAUGACGGCCUUCGGGUUGUAAACCUCUUUUAGCAGGGAAGAAGCGAAAGUGACGGUACCUGCAGAAAAAGCACCGGCUAACUACGUGCCAGCCGCCGCGGUAA